RNAcentral lists this ribosomal RNA (1008 nucleotides) under Triticum aestivum (bread wheat). RNAcentral describes it as "partial small subunit ribosomal RNA". Lineage: Eukaryota; Viridiplantae; Streptophyta; Magnoliopsida; Poales; Poaceae. The record is from RNAcentral.
AUGGCGGAGGGCUUCGGGCGCUGGGAGUCGGAUCCGCUCUUCCCCGCGGCCGAGUGCGUGCAGGACUCCGCCGACAGGAUGGACGGUGUCUACCGCUUGCUUUUGCAUGAAAAGAAAGUUAUACAAGAUGACACUUCAGAUGCAAAACUUCAUGCACCGAUACAGUAUGAGAGAGAUGUGGCUACUGCUCUCGGAACUACCAAGUGGCAGUUAGAGCAAUUUGAGAGGGAGGUGAAUGCAGCUGCAUUCUCUGAUAAGUCAACUUCAAGGGAAAAUGCAAUCUUAAAGUUCAGGCAAUUCAUUAGAGCUAUAGCUGAGCAAAUUUCUGAGGUGGAAGAAAGCUUGAAGACUCUUAGGACAGAUUUCAGUAGAACUCCGAAAUCUCCAUACUCCUCAAGUGAACAGGAUGGAGAUGGGCUGGCAUCUUUCCUUUCUGGUGGCAACAGUCAUAGUCAUGCAUACUACUCCACUGAUACAAAUGAAAUUACUGAACUUAAGCUCGACAGUGCACCUAUGGUAAAUGGUUAUCAUUCUGCCCAAGAACAUACAACACGUGAACUCAGAUAUUCAGGAAAUGAUGUGGAAGGGGCAUCAAAAUUGCAAUGUUCACGUGGAGAAAGUGCAUCCGAAGGAGAUCAUUACGGUAGCACUUUGUGUAGUUUGGAUGCUGAUGAUUCGUUAGGUACAAGCCAUCAUUACAAGAACAAACUGAGCAGUCAGUACCGCAGUUUUAUGAGAAACUUAUGGUUUACGAAUAGAGACCAUCAGAGCUUUACAAAGAGGAGGAAAGAUGGAGAAGUUGUUGAUGGCUUGAGAAAUGGAAAUAUAUUACCUCCCUUCAACCUACGUACAUCAGGAAGGACUACGUAUUGCUGGCCUGAACUUAUCAAGAGAACAUUAAGUAGAUCUGAAUAUUCUACACGCUACAAUCACCCUCAACUUUUUGUAGCAACAUCACUACUAGUUGCACUUGCUGUCCUUGGCUUGCUGGUUUUGCAUGUCAAGUGA